GAUGAACGCUGGCGGCGUGCCUAAUACAUGCAAGUCGAGCGAACAGACGAGGAGCUUGCUCCUCUGACGUUAGCGGCGGACGGGUGAGUAACACGUGGAUAACCUACCUAUAAGACUGGGAUAACUUCGGGAAACCGGAGCUAAUACCGGAUAAUAUAUUGAACCGCAUGGUUCAAUAGUGAAAGACGGUUUUGCUGUCACUUAUAGAUGGAUCCGCGCCGCAUUAGCUAGUUGGUAAGGUAACGGCUUACCAAGGCAACGAUGCCUAGCCGACCUGAGAGGGUGAUCGGCCACCCUGGAACUGAGACACGGUCCAGACUCCUACGGGAGGCAGCAGUAGGGAAUCUUCCGCAAUGGGCGAAAGCCUGACGGAGCAACGCCGCGUGAGUGAUGAAGGUCUUCGGAUCGUAAAACUCUGUUAUUAGGGAAGAACAAAUGUGUAAGUAACUAUGCACGUCUUGACGGUACCUAAUCAGAAAGCCACGGCUAACUACGUG
This 497-nucleotide ribosomal RNA is filed under the name uncultured bacterium. Its description in RNAcentral is "partial 16S ribosomal RNA". It matches the Rfam family "Bacterial small subunit ribosomal RNA", at positions 28 to 507 of the family's 1533-position model. The record is from RNAcentral.